UUGAUCCUGGCUCAGAACGAACGCUGGCGGCGCGUUUUAAGCAUGCAAGUCGAACGGUAGAGAAGUGCUUGCACUUCUUGAGAGUGGCGAACGGGUGAGUAACACGUAGGUGAUCUACCGCAGGGGUUGGGGAUAGCCCAUGGAAACAUGGGGUAAUACCGAAUACGCUCAUUUGGCUGUGGCCGGAUGAGGAAAGGCGCUUCGGCGUCGCCCUGCGAUGAGCCUGCGCCCCAUUAGCUAGUUGGUAGGGUAAAGGCCUACCAAGGCGACGAUGGGUAGCCGGCCUGAGAGGGUGAUCGGCCACACUGGGACUGAGAUACGGCCCAGACUCCUACGGGAGGCAGCAGCUAAGAAUCUUCCGCAAUGGACGAAAGUCUGACGGAGCGACGCCGCGUGGGUGAAGAAGGCCGGAAGGUUGUAAAGCCCUUUUCUCGUUGAGGAAUAAGCACAGGAGGGAAUGCCUGUGCGAUGACGGUAGGCGAGGAAUAAGUCCCGGCCAAUUACGUGCCAGCAGCCGCGGUAACACGUAUGGGACGAGCGUUGUUCGGAAUCAUUGGGCGUAAAGGGCGCGUAGGCGGCGAGGUAAGCCUGGUGUGAAAGACCGCAGCUUAACUGCGGAACCGCGCUAGGAACUGCUUUGCUUGAGUUCAGGAGGGGGAGCUGGAAUUCCAGGUGUAGGGGUGAAAUCUGUAGAUAUCUGGAAGAACACCGGCGGCGAAGGCGAGCUCCUGGCCAUGAACUGACGCUGAGGCGCGAAAGCGUGGGGAGCGAACAGGGAUUAGAUACCCUGGUAGUCCACGCUGUAAACGA
This 810-nucleotide ribosomal RNA is filed under the name uncultured organism. Its description in RNAcentral is "bacterial SSU rRNA". It matches the Rfam family "Bacterial small subunit ribosomal RNA", at positions 13 to 809 of the family's 1533-position model. The record is from RNAcentral.